CUUGUCGCUGCCGGUUUGCAAACACCGACCCAAUUUACCACAGUUUAACAUAUGUGCAUUCAUCAGUGAAGUUGUCCUGGCUAAAACACCUGGCACCAGCUUCUACCUGGGCAUCAACUGUCAUUCCGUUGACUCCCCUAGACCCCAGUACAGUGCCCUCUGCCAGCAGGAAGCAGUUAAAGAGAGAAAUCUUUGCCCCUUUUCAUAAUAAUAAUCAUAAGACGGGAUAUGAAAGGGUUUUGGCCCAGACAGGACACUGUAGCCAGUAAAGCCAAGGAGCUCUAUCUCCCCCACCCCUAGGAAUCUACCUCUGGUGCCAAACUAGUGCCAAUGGGCUACCUGUGCAUCCCUAAUGCCCCCUCAGGCACCACCACAGAGAGAUCGCCGACCCCGGGGCUGGGGGGGGGUCUCUC
RNAcentral lists this long non-coding RNA (413 nucleotides) under Cavia porcellus (domestic guinea pig). RNAcentral describes it as "lncRNA (ENSCPOG00000034114.1)". Lineage: Eukaryota; Metazoa; Chordata; Mammalia; Rodentia; Caviidae. The record is from RNAcentral.